Molecule: ribosomal RNA, 253 nt
Filed under: uncultured bacterium
Lineage: Bacteria
Description: partial 16S ribosomal RNA
Rfam family: Bacterial small subunit ribosomal RNA
Source: RNAcentral
UACGGAGGGCGCUAGCGUUGUUCGGAUAUGCUGGGCGUAAAGCGCACGUAGGCGGCGCAGCAAGUCAGGGGUGAAAUCCCGGAGCUCAACUCCGGAACUGCCCUUGAAACUGCAGUGCUAGAAUCCUGGAGAGGCGAGUGGAAUUCCGAGUGUAGAGGUGAAAUUCGUAGAUAUUCGGAAGAACACCAGUGGCGAAGGCGACUCGCUGGACAGGUAUUGACGCUGAGGUGCGAAAGCGUGGGGAGCAAACAGG